Oncorhynchus keta (chum salmon) is the source of this 601-nucleotide long non-coding RNA. RefSeq lists it as uncharacterized. The transcript is spliced from 3 exons. The record is from RefSeq and is a predicted model, not a curated record. NCBI's taxonomy places the organism in Eukaryota, Metazoa, Chordata, Actinopteri, Salmoniformes, Salmonidae.
CAAACAGAUGACUUAAUAAUAACUUUCUCCAGAUAAAAACGUAGUAACUUGUUACAAUGUCCGGUGGUUAUUACGUUAUCAGGUGAGUAACACAUGGGCCCAUACUCAUAAAGCAUCUCAAAGUAGGAGAGCUGAUCUAGGAUCAGAUCCCCUGUACUUAUGAUGUUGUUCAGAUCCAAUAGGAGAGCUGAUCUAGGAUCAGGUCCCCUUGUACAUGUGAUGUUGUUCAGAUCCAAUAGGAGAGCUGAUCUAGGAUCAGGUCCCCUUGUACAUGUGAUGUUGUUCAGAUCCAAUAGGAGAGCUGAUCUAGGAUCAGGUGAUGUUGUUCAGAUCCAAUAGGAGAGCUGAUCUAGGAUCAGGUGAUGUUGUUCAGAUCCAAUAGGAGAGCUGAUCUAGGAACAGGUCCCCUUGUACAUGUGAUGUUGUUCAGAUCCAAUAGGAGAGCUGAUCUAGGAUCAGAUCCAAUAGGAGAGCUGAUCUAGGAUCAGAUCCCCUUGUUCAUGUGAUGUUGUUCAGAUCCAAUAGGAGAGCUGAUCUAGGAUCAGAUCCCUCGAUCCAGUCAUUUUAAUCUAAAAGACAAAAACGGAUCCUAAAUCAGCAC